RNAcentral lists this ribosomal RNA (301 nucleotides) under uncultured bacterium. Its description in RNAcentral is "partial 16S ribosomal RNA". It matches the Rfam family "Bacterial small subunit ribosomal RNA", at positions 509 to 809 of the family's 1533-position model. The record is from RNAcentral.
CAGUAGCCGCGGUAACACGUAGGGUGCAAGCGUUAAUCGGAAUUACUGGGCGUAAAGCGUGCGCAGGCGGUUAUAUAAGACAGAUGUGAAAUCCCCGGGCUCAACCUGGGAACUGCAUUUGUGACUGUAUAGCUAGAGUACGGCAGAGGGGGAUGGAAUUCCGCGUGUAGCAGUGAAAUGCGUAGAUAUGCGGAGGAACACCGAUGGCGAAGGCAAUCACAUGGGCCUGUACUGACGCUCAUGCACGAAAGCGUGGGGAGCAAACAGGAUUAGAUACCCCAGUAGUCCCUGUCUCUUAUAA